RNAcentral lists this ribosomal RNA (500 nucleotides) under uncultured bacterium. RNAcentral's name for it is "partial 16S ribosomal RNA". It matches the Rfam family "Bacterial small subunit ribosomal RNA", at positions 29 to 523 of the family's 1533-position model. The record is from RNAcentral.
AUUGAACGCUGGCGGCAUGCCUUACACAUGCAAGUCGAACGGCAGCACGGGAGCAAUCCUGGUGGCGAGUGGCGAACGGGUGAGUAAAGUAUCGGAACGUGCCCAGUCGUGGGGGAUAACGCAGCGAAAGCUGUGCUAAUACCGCAUACGAUCUAGGGAUGAAAGCGGGGGAUCGCAAGACCUCGCGCGAUUGGAGCGGCCGAUAUCAGAUUAGCUAGUUGGUGAGGUAAAGGCUCACCAAGGCGACGAUCUGGAGCUGGUCUGAGAGGACGACCAGCCACACUGGAACUGAGACACGGUCCAGACUCCUACGGGAGGCAGCAGUGGGGAAUUUUGGACAAUGGGCGCAAGCCUGAUCCAGCAAUGCCGCGUGCAGGAUGAAGGCCUUCGGGUUGAAAACUGCUUUUGUACGGAGCGAAAAGGCUCUCUCUAAUACAGGGGGCUCAUGACGGUACCGUAAGAAUAAGCACCGGCUAACUACGUGCCAGCCGCCGCCGUAA